UGUGCUCUCGAAAGUAUCCAACAAAGA
This 27-nucleotide non-coding RNA is filed under the name Rattus norvegicus (Norway rat). Lineage: Eukaryota; Metazoa; Chordata; Mammalia; Rodentia; Muridae. The record is from RNAcentral.